Molecule: non-coding RNA, 125 nt
Organism: Triticum aestivum (bread wheat)
Lineage: Eukaryota; Viridiplantae; Streptophyta; Magnoliopsida; Poales; Poaceae
Source: Rfam
UUUAUACUCCCUCCGUCCGGAGAUACUUGUCGAAGAAAUGGAUAAAAAUAGAUGUAUAUAGAACUUAAAUACGUCUAGAUACAUCCAUCUCUGUGACAAGUAUUUCCGGACAGAGGGAGUAGUAU